Molecule: ribosomal RNA, 511 nt
Filed under: Cryptosporidium ubiquitum
Lineage: Eukaryota; Apicomplexa; Conoidasida; Eucoccidiorida; Cryptosporidiidae
Description: SSU rRNA
Rfam family: Eukaryotic small subunit ribosomal RNA
Source: RNAcentral
UUAGGGUUCGAUUCCGGAGAGGGAGCCUGAGAAACGGCUACCACAUCUAAGGAAGGCAGCAGGCGCGCAAAUUACCCAAUCCUAAUACAGGGAGGUAGUGACAAGAAAUAACAAUACAGGACUUUAAAUAGUUUUGUAAUUGGAAUGAGUUAAGUAUAAACCCCUUUACAAGUAUCAAUUGGAGGGCAAGUCUGGUGCCAGCAGCCGCGGUAAUUCCAGCUCCAAUAGCGUAUAUUAAAGUUGUUGCAGUUAAAAAGCUCGUAGUUGGAUUUCUGUUAAUAAUUUAUAUAUAAUAUUUUAUUAAUAUUUAUAUAGUAUUAACAUAAUUCAUAUUACUAUAUUUUAUAGUAUAUGAAAUUUUACUUUGAGAAAAUUAGAGUGCUUAAAGCAGGCAUUAGCCUUGAAUACUCCAGCAUGGAAUAAUAUAAAAGAUUUUUAUCUUUUUUAUUGGUUCUAAGAUAAAAAUAAUGAUUAAUAGGGACAGUUGGGGGCAUUUGUAUUUAACAGUCAG